GGGCCCGCACAAGCGGUGGAGCAUGUGGUUUAAUUCGAUGCAACGCGAAGAACCUUACCUACUCUUGACAUCCAGAGAAGCCAGCGGAGACGCAGGUGUGCCUUCGGGAGCUCUGAGACAGGUGCUGCAUGGCUGUCGUCAGCUCGUGUUGUGAAAUGUUGGUUAAGUCCCGCAACGAGCGCAACCCUUAUCCUUGUUUGCCAGCGAGUAAUGUCGGGAACUCCAGGGAGACUGCCGGUGAUAAACCGGAGGAAGGUGGGGACGACGUCAAGUCAUCAUGGCCCUUACGAGUAGGGCUACACACGUGCUACAAUGGCGCAUACAGAGGGCGGCGAACUUGCGAGAGUGAGCGAA
RNAcentral lists this ribosomal RNA (354 nucleotides) under uncultured bacterium. RNAcentral's name for it is "bacterial SSU rRNA". It matches the Rfam family "Bacterial small subunit ribosomal RNA", at positions 917 to 1271 of the family's 1533-position model. The record is from RNAcentral.